RNAcentral lists this unclassified non-coding RNA (243 nucleotides) under rhizosphere metagenome. Its description in RNAcentral is "partial ribosomal RNA internal transcribed spacer region". The record is from RNAcentral.
GUAGGUGAACCUGCGGAAGGAUCAUUACCGAGAGACGGGGUCGAACCGGCCCCACUCUUCACCCCUGUAUACCCACCUCUGUUGCUUUGGCGGGCCGUCGGGCUCAAUCGCCCGGCGUUGGUCGCGGGGCUCACGGCCCCGCCCGGCGAGCGCCCGCCAAAGGCCCCGUAAACUCCGUUAUCAGUGACGUCCGAGUAGUUACACAAAUAGCUAAAACUUUUAACAACGGAUCUCUUGGUUCUG